AGCGAACGCUGGCGGCAGGCCUAACACAUGCAAGUCGAACGAACCUUUCGGGGUUAGUGGCGGACGGGUGAGUAACACGUGGGAACGUGCCUUUAGGUUCGGAAUAACUCAGGGAAACUUGUGCUAAUACCGAAUGUGCCCUUCGGGGGAAAGAUUUAUCGCCUUUAGAGCGGCCCGCGUCUGAUUAGCUAGUUGGUUGAGGUAAUGGCUCACCAAGGCGACGAUCAGUAGCUGGUCUGAGAGGAUGAUCAGCCACAUUGGGACUGAGACACGGCCCAAACUCCUACGGGAGGCAGCAGUGGGGAAUCUUGCGCAAUGGGCGAAAGCCUGACGCAGCCAUGCCGCGUGAAUGAUGAAGGUCUUAGGAUUGCAAAAUUCUUUCACCGGGGACGAUAAUGACGGUACCCGGAGAAGAAGCCCCGGCUAACUUCGUG
This 434-nucleotide ribosomal RNA is filed under the name uncultured bacterium. RNAcentral describes it as "partial 16S ribosomal RNA". It matches the Rfam family "Bacterial small subunit ribosomal RNA", at positions 29 to 507 of the family's 1533-position model. The record is from RNAcentral.